UCGAGAGGCUUCGGCAAUGGGGGAAACCCUGACCGAGCGACGCCGCGUGGGUGAUGAAGAUCCCUGGAUCGUAAAACCCUGUCAGGUGGGAUGAACUGCCAUUUGGUUAAUACCCGAGUGGUUUGACAGUACCGCCAGAGGAAGCUCCGGCUAACUCCGUGCCAGCAGCCGCGGUAAUACGGAGGAUGCGAGCGUUAUCCGGAUUUAUUGGGUUUAAAGGGUGCGUAGGCGGAUUAAUAAGUCAGUGGUGAAAACCUGCAGCUUAACUGUAGACUUGCCAUUGAUACUGUUAGUCUUGAGUACGGUCAAGGUAGGCGGAAUGCGUAAUGUAGCGGUGAAAUGCUUAGAUAUUACACAGAACACCGAUUGCGAAGGCAGCUUACUGGGCCAUUACUGACGCUGAGGCACGAAAGCGUGGGGAGCGAACAGGAUUAGAUACCCUGGUAGUCCACGCCGUAAACGAUGAUCACUCGCUGUUGGCGAUACACAGUCAGCGGCUAAGCAAAAGCAUUAAGUGAUCCACCUGGGGAGUACGGCCGCAAGGCUG
RNAcentral lists this ribosomal RNA (547 nucleotides) under uncultured bacterium. Its description in RNAcentral is "bacterial SSU rRNA". It matches the Rfam family "Bacterial small subunit ribosomal RNA", at positions 355 to 896 of the family's 1533-position model. The record is from RNAcentral.